Long non-coding RNA from Sapajus apella (tufted capuchin), 385 nucleotides. RefSeq lists it as uncharacterized. The record is from RefSeq and is a predicted model, not a curated record. NCBI's taxonomy places the organism in Eukaryota, Metazoa, Chordata, Mammalia, Primates, Cebidae. The transcript has 3 exons.
GAACGCGAGGUAGCACUGUGUCUGCCCAUCUCAACUGUCCACAGAAUCAGCCUCACAAGGUACCCCAUGUAGCACAGUGUCUGCCCAUCUGAACCAUCCACAGCCUCAGCCUCACCACGGACCCCAGGUACGACUAUGCCUGCUCAUCUCAGCUGUCCACACACUCAGCCUCACCAGAGACCACAGGCAGCACUGUGCCUGCCUAUCAGAAAUGCAGCUGUCCACAGCCUCAGCCUCACCAGGAACCCCAGGUAGCACUGUGCCUGCCCAUCAGAAAUGCAGCUGUCCACAGCCUCAGCCUCACUAGGAACCCCAGGUAGCACUGUGCCUGCUCAUCUCAACUGUCCACAGAAUCAGCCUCACAAGGGACCCCAUGUAGCACUGU